This 83-nucleotide transfer RNA is filed under the name Omnitrophica WOR_2 bacterium GWA2_47_8. Its description in RNAcentral is "tRNA-Leu". It matches the Rfam family "tRNA". Rfam says of the family: Transfer RNA (tRNA) molecules are approximately 80 nucleotides in length. Their secondary structure includes four short double-helical elements and three loops (D, anti-codon, and T loops). Lineage: Bacteria; Pseudomonadati; Candidatus Omnitrophota. The record is from RNAcentral.
GCUGGAGUGGCGGAAUGGCAUACGCGCUGGUCUCAAAAACCCGUAGCCUCACGGCUGUGAGGGUUCGACUCCCUCCUCCAGCA